Molecule: ribosomal RNA, 484 nt
Filed under: uncultured bacterium
Lineage: Bacteria
Description: partial 16S ribosomal RNA
Rfam family: Bacterial small subunit ribosomal RNA
Source: RNAcentral
AUUGAACGCUGGCGGCAUGCCUUACACAUGCAAGUCGAACGGCAGCGCAGGCUUCGGCCUGGCGGCGAGUGGCGAACGGGUGAGUAAUGCAUCGGAACGUGCCCAGUAGUGGGGGAUAGCGCGGCGAAGGCGGGAUUAAUACCGCAUACGACCUGAGGGUGAAAGCGGGGGAGCGAAAGACCUCGCGCUAUUGGAGCGGCCGAUGUCGGAUUAGCUAGUUGGUGGGGUAAAGGCUUACCAAGGCGACGAUCCGUAGCUGGUCUGAGAGGACGACCAGCCACACUGGAACUGAGACACGGCCCAGACUCCUACGGGAGGCAGCAGUGGGGAAUUUUGGACAAUGGGGGCAACCCUGAUCCAGCCAUGCCGCGUGCGGGAAGAAGGCCUUCGGGUUGUAAACCGCUUUUGUUCGGGAAGAAAUCCUCUGGGCUAAUACCCCGGGGGGAUGACGGUACCGGAAGAAUAAGCACCGGCUAACUACGUG